AUACGGAGGGUGCAAGCGUUAAUCGGAAUUACUGGGCGUAAAGCGCACGUAGGCUGUUGUGUAAGUCAGGGGUGAAAUCCCACGGCUCAACCGUGGAACUGCCUUUGAUACUGCACGACUUGAAUCCGGGAGAGGGUGGCGGAAUUCCAGGUGUAGGAGUGAAAUCCGUAGAUAUCUGAAGGAACACCAGUGGCGAAGGCGGCCACCUGGACCGGUAUUGACGCUGAGGUGCGAAAGCGUGGGGAGCAAACAGGAUUAGAUCCCCUGGUAGUCCACGCCGUAAACGAUGGAUGCUAGAUGUCGGGGGGUUGCCCUCGGUGUCGUAGUUAACGCGUUAAGCAUCCCGCCUGGGGAGUACGGUCGCAAGGCUGAAACUCAAAUGAAUUGACGGGG
RNAcentral lists this ribosomal RNA (393 nucleotides) under uncultured bacterium. Its description in RNAcentral is "partial 16S ribosomal RNA". It matches the Rfam family "Bacterial small subunit ribosomal RNA", at positions 523 to 918 of the family's 1533-position model. The record is from RNAcentral.